This 390-nucleotide ribosomal RNA is filed under the name Flavodon sp. BAB-3697. RNAcentral's name for it is "eukaryotic LSU rRNA". The stretch from base 1 to 106 matches the Rfam family "5.8S ribosomal RNA", at positions 52 to 154 of the family's 154-position model. The record is from RNAcentral. Lineage: Eukaryota; Fungi; Basidiomycota; Agaricomycetes; Polyporales; Irpicaceae.
UAUGCGAUACUUGGUGUGAAUUGCAGAAUUCAGUGAAUCAUCGAAUCUUUGAACGCACCUAUGCGCUUCUUGGUAUUCUGAGGAUGUCAUGCCUGUUUGAGGAUCUCAUGGUAUUCUCAACCCCUAAAUUUUUCUAGUGAAGAUUUGGUGGGCUUGGACUUGGAGGUUGUGUUGGCUCUCGCUAGUCGACUCCUUUGAAAUACAUUAGUGUGAACCUUACGGAUCGCCUUCAGUGUGAUAAUUAUCUGCGCUGUGGUGGUGAAGUAUUUAUUGUAUUCACGCUAUCUAGCCGUCUCUGGCUUCGAAUGGGCAGAUGCUUUGACAGUCAUGAGCUCAUAUCAGGUAUGAGAUUCCGACCGCUGAACUUAAGCAUAUCAAUAAGCGGAGGAA